Long non-coding RNA from Phycodurus eques (leafy seadragon), 1262 nucleotides. RefSeq lists it as uncharacterized. NCBI's taxonomy places the organism in Eukaryota, Metazoa, Chordata, Actinopteri, Syngnathiformes, Syngnathidae. The record is from RefSeq and is a predicted model, not a curated record. The transcript is spliced from 2 exons.
ACGCCCGGAGUAUUUUUAGCAGUAGCCACAGUAGCAGCGAUGAACGCUGUCCAGCCAUUUCAGUUCGAGCCAGAGUGUGAUCAGGAAAAUGAGGAGAAACGGAGAGCAUUUCAAGCGUUUGUCGUCACCUUCGCAGUCUGCACCGCUUCCCAAAGGUUCUUCUGUGUCAUUACUGUGUGACAGUGGAGCUGAGCGAUUGUAUCCUGGUAGUCCUCCACUGUGGUUUCCACUUGGACUGUGAUUGCAAAGCUGCGACGACGCAGGUGCUUCGUCUUCGUCGUCUUCACUCUUCACAACCACGAUGUUUAGUGGCAACUCGCUGACAUCCACCUCCUCCUCUUCCUCUUUAACGUGGGAGUGCUGCGGACGCUUCUGCUCCAGACCGGAGCUCCCUGCCUGCGGUGGCUGAGGGGAAAGUUCCUCUUGGUGACCAAUCAGCUGAUGGAUGUCUGCGGGACACGGGUGACAAAAAAACACGGGUCAAAUCUUUUAAAAACGUUAUACGGUGUAUGCGGUAACAGCGCAAGGUUCAGGUCACUUCCUAAUGUGCUGUCGUUCAAUUUAAAGUUACAAUUACGAAGCCCGUGGCUCGCCCCAACUCGGUCAUACCACCAAAGAUCGGGACUUGAGUCAUUGUGACUUGGACUUGAGUCCACUCGUGUCACCGUUUUGAUCACCUGUGACUUGACUUGACAACAAACAAAGACUUGAGACCAGCAUUGGGAGUUGAAAACAACUUGUUGUUGAUUUUACUGUGACAAUAUAAGCACCGAACCUAGCAAUAGAAAGAGUAGACUCUCUUCUGUCACCAGAAAAAAAUUGUUUGUUUCUAGCUUUUUUUAUUCUUUAGUAAUCAGCAGUAGAACAUGGGGUGGUUUCACCCCAAAACACCAGUUCCUGGCCAAAAAGAGGGGGGGAACCCCAACUUUUUUGUGCCAAGCAGAAUAGUGACUUUGACGCUAACAUUUUUGCUUUUGUGACACCACAAACUAUAAAACAACAAAAACAAGACUGAGAAACUGCUUUUGAUGGCAAAAGAAUAAUUUAUUUACAAAUGUACAACUGUGUAACACUUUGUUAGCAAUGGUAACUCACCGCAUGGCUCGAGUUGAACGUCUGGCUUUUUUACGUGGUGUUCGCCCUUUCACUCCAUGAACUGCAUCAUCUUUUCUCACGAUCAUGUCACACACUUUGUACUACUUACUCAAGUUAUGUACGCUAUACUCUGCUCGAAUGUGAGGUGCCUAAACUUGUUCGACUUA